GUAGCUCAAUCAGCAGAGCAUCCGUCUCACCACUCCUCGUCGUCGACCGUUUCCUCCUUCCAUCGCGGAAUGCGAACGGGACUACAUCGUGUCGUCGGUUCGAAUCCGACCGGGUCCACCA
Molecule: transfer RNA, 121 nt
Filed under: Planctomycetota bacterium
Lineage: Bacteria; Pseudomonadati; Planctomycetota
Description: Planctomycetes bacterium (bioreactor metagenome) tRNA-OTHER
Rfam family: tRNA
About the family: Transfer RNA (tRNA) molecules are approximately 80 nucleotides in length. Their secondary structure includes four short double-helical elements and three loops (D, anti-codon, and T loops).
Source: RNAcentral